Photinus pyralis (common eastern firefly) is the source of this 5205-nucleotide RNA transcript. RefSeq lists it as uncharacterized. The record is from RefSeq and is a predicted model, not a curated record. The transcript is spliced from 5 exons. Lineage: Eukaryota; Metazoa; Arthropoda; Insecta; Coleoptera; Lampyridae.
AUUUACUCUUAUAAGGGUUAAUAUUACUUAUAAAUUAUUUUACGCCGGUAGACUUUACAUUGAAGAAUCAAUUCAAUAUAUUUUGAUUGACCUGCACAAUGGUAUUAACAGGGAAAUUACGCGAUUGGAUUUAGGAUUUACUCUGUAAACAGGAUCUGCUACUAACCUAGCUCAAUUCCAAAGACUAACAAAUUCUUAUGAUAAGCGAUGAGAUCAUUUCCUCUGACAAAAUACAGUGCUCCUGUGUAAGCGUAAACGCGCUAUCAGCAAAAACAAUAAAAUGCGACUACGAGGCUGGCGACAUUAUAACCGCUUUAAAAAUAAGUGAGCUGAAUUGCACCUUUUCAACUACGAGUAACGAGUGCCUUUAUAAUACUGAAUUAGUGAAUUUAGACCGUGUCGGUAUAUCGUUCAUAGUGGUUGUGGUUCUCUGGUGCCGUUUGGUUACGGACGUAUAUGUAAGUAAAUAUUACCAUUUAAUUCCUUAAUUUUCAUGGCGCCUGUAUUUAAAUGUUGUACUUGUACGCGACAUUUUUCAACAAUCGAACUGUACAAUACACACCAGUAUCUGCACAGAAACAUAGUUAAUGUGCGAUAUUACUGCAAGUACGAAAAAUGUUACUUACAGUAUAGUAACUAUAAAAGCUUUAAGAUGCAUUUGUAUAGAACUCAUAUGAAAAAAAAGGUUAAAAUUCGCAAUGCCACUGUUAGCGACACGUACAUUUGCAAUGUAGAAAAUUGUAACUUCCCAGCUACUAGUAAUCAUAAUCAGUUUUUGUCACAUAUGUAUAACCAUAUUAAAAAUAAUAUUGAUAUAAAAUGCCCUUUUUCGAAUUGUGCUUACACAAAAAAAUUUUCUCGUGUUUCAAAUUUUAAAUCUCAUUUUUAUAGAAACCAUUACAAUGCCACAGAGACAAAAACAGAUAAGAAUACCUCGUCACUUAGUAUUGUAACCCCCGAAGAUAUUAAUCCAUUUUUAAACGAUAUAAGCAUACCUGAGGACGAUACAGACUAUAAUGAAAAUGGCGAUUUUGAAUUGGCCCUAAAGAAUACGUAUGUACAUUCGUUGGCAAAUACUUAUUUGACUUUACAAGCCAAGCAUUUUUUAACAGAUAGUGCAUUGCAAACAUUAAUUGAUGGGAUAUCGGAUAUUUACGACAUUAGCCAAAAAAAUGUAUGCAGCUUCCUUAAAGCUAAAAAAAUAUCUCCGGAUGUUAUUAAGGUCGUAAAAAACCAAAAUUUAUUUGAUCACGCACACAAUUCUGCAAAUGGUGUAUUAAGGUCUCCUUACAUAAGAAAAAAAUUUUACAAAAAGGAGUUUAAUUACGUAGAACCUGUUGAAGUAUUACUAGAGAAGAGUGGCAAAAAAAAGGUGUUUUUUAUGUAUAUCCCAAUAUUAGAAACCAUAAAAGUCUUAAUGGCAAACACUAAUUUUUAUGAUCAAUGGAAAACCAUAAGAACUUGUCAGAAAAACGUAUAUACGGACUUUUUUGAUGGCGAAUGUUACCGCAAUAGUACAUUUUUUAAGGAUAAUCCGUCAGCUUUUCAGAUCAUACUUUAUCAAGACGCAUUUGAGAUAUGUAAUCCAUUGGGUUCGUCCAGGAAAAUUCACAAGAUUGUUGGAAUAUACAUGACGAUUGCAAAUGUACCUUCCUACAACAGAAGCAAAACUGACCAUAUUCAGUUAGUUGCGCUGUGUUACGAAAGUUCAAUUAAAAAGUUUGGUUUUGAUAAAGUUAUGGAUAUUAUUAUUCGAGAUAUUAACAUUUUGGAAUUAGAAGGAAUUUUAAUAAAAGAUGAGAUCAUAAAGGGUACAGUGGUUGCAGUUUGCGGUGACAACUUAGGAAGUCAUCAAAUUGGUGGUUUCGUGGAAAAUUUUAGUACGAGUAGUCAUAUGUGCCGAUACUGCGAAAUUAGUAAAAAACUAAUGUCGGUUCAAAAUAGUUACACCGACCCCAUUUCAUUAAGAACUCAACACUCAUAUGAAAUAGAUGUGGCUAUUGCAGCGACAUCAGGCGAGCCGUCAAAAGGUGUUAAAUUCGAUUCUGUUUUAAAUAAGUGUAUGUUUUUCCAUGUUUGUAACCCCGGUUUGCCUCCAUGUUUGGCUCAUGAUGUUUAUGAAGGAGUGUUGCAAUGUGACUUUAUGCUUUGCUUGAAUAAUCUUAUUGCAAAAAAGUAUUUUACCUACGAUUAUUUUAACGACAAAAUACAAAAAAUAAGGUUUAUCUCUGAAUCAAAGUAUGAAAAUAUACCUACAAUUAAAAAGUCUGAAAAAUUACCCGGUAAUGCAUCAGAAAAUUGUAGGAUACUUCAAAUAUUUCCCUUUGCUUUACAUGAACUCUCUUUCGAGGACGAACCCGCGUGGGAAAUGUUGUUAAAAUUGCGCGAAAUUAAUUUACUAUUAAUGGCGCCAAAACUGUCGGUGAUUCAUAUAGCACAUUUGCGCUUAAUGAUUUACGAUUAUAUAGAAUUGAGAACCACACUGUUUUCAAAUACACCUUUAAGACCAAAACAUCAUUACUUAAAACACUACCCGUUUCUAAUAAAAAAAUUUGGGCCAUUGAAACAUUUGUGGACUCUCAGAUUUGAAAGCAAACACCUUUAUUUUAAAAAUGUCUUGAAGCAUUCUCCAAAUUUCAAAAAUGUGCUUCAUACUCUAUCCGAAAGGCAUCAAUUAUUGCAAAGUCAAAUUAUGACGCACGGAUAUGGAACCGUUUUUACUAACAAAGCGACUUCUGACGAUGCUGUUCCAUAUGUCUCUGAAGAUUUUGAGCUUGUGGUAGCAGCAUGCAUAUCUAAUUCAUCACCAUUACCACUAAACCAAAAACUUUUAGUAUCGCAAAGAGUGACAUUUCGAGGUAUAACUUUUAGCAAAAAUAUGUAUGUAUGUAUAGCUAAAACAGAAGACGAUGACUUUGUAUUAUGUCGUAUUAAACAUAUAAUAGUCAAUGAGUUCUAUACUAACUUACUGUUUGUUGGAAAUGAAGUUAAAAUCACUCGGAACAAGGCUUUAGGUCUGUUCGAAGAAACUGAAAAAGUAAAUAAUAAUGUUAUUACUGGGUGUAAUUUUGGUGACCUGUUAUCACAUGAACCGUUAUUUGUGUAUUUAAGUUCCAGUAAUAAGUUAUUAUUUUCGUUUAAAUCGGCACCAUUCGAAUAUUCAGAUUAAUUUUUUUCAUGCUUACGGUAGUAUCUCUCAUGAUCCAAUUUUUUUGUCUUAUAUACACUUUGUAUUUUUGUCAAAUUUCUUUGUUUUGUAUUUUGAAUGAAAUGUCAUUGGAAUUGUUUAUUUUAUAUUAUUUUAUUAUUUUAUUUUACUGCAUAUGUUGACAUAACAUAAAUUUAAUUUUAGUUAAGUUUAAAACUAAUUAUAUGGAAAAUUUGGUAAAAAGCGUAAUGUCAAAAGUGUGGGUGGGUGGACUUUGCCACCUCAGUGCAUUAUGCAUUUUACAAAGAUGCAAUUGUGAUUAUAAUCUUAUAAUCUCACCUGUAAGAGAUGUUUGUUUUUUACUUUUGUUCGCAGUCAAUCUUCUGUAAAAAUGGCGUAUAUAUUCAAAACGUGGAAUGUAAGGCGUACAGCAAAAAAAGUCGUUUUCCUGAACGAAUCUACAUCAGAAUUGUGCAAAACACUCAUUGUUGAAGCUUCCAAAAAACUUAAUAUUAACGGAGUACGCUUAGUUUUGGAAUCUGAUGGGACCGAAAUAGAUGACGACGAAGUUGUAAAAAUACUUCAUAAGGAAAUUUUUCUUGUGCUAGAGGAAACUGAAGAAUGGAGUAGAGCAGCGGAUGACACGCAUCUGAGUAUGCAUUCGCAUGAUUCCGCUUCAUCUGCAUUAACUGUGGAAAACCUAUCUGAAUUUGAUACUGACAGUGGUAGCACAAGGGCAUCCACGCCAAGCUCUUGUAGUAGUCGUACAAUAAGUGAAAAUACGUGGCUGUCAUUCAAAAUUCCAUACGAAAAGAUGAGUUCUACAGCAAUGAAGAAUUUUGAAAAUGGUGUACGUUGUCGUCAGUCAAUAAAAGACAUGAUACAUUUGGUUACUGACGAAAUGCUCGAAGUGGCCGAAGGCUUUGUUCCCAACACAGCAUGCAAAAUUAUUGCAAGAAAACUCGUAGAUAAAUUCCCUAAAAUUUUUCAAGAUAGAGACGACGAUGGCACUGUGAUCGGAGACGGCGCAAUUACAACAUACAAUCAGGUGAAAGAAAGAAUUAAGUACGUAACAGCUUCAAGAAAACGACUACAGCGACCGAAAAAUAACCCAAUUCCCGUCAACAAAAGAAGAAAAAUGAUGAACUUGAAAUCUGGAUGUGUAAGUUGGCAACCAGAAAUACAAAAUAAUUUGACCAACGAUGACAUGGAAAAUUACCUUAGAACAGCCGAUUUUGAAACUUUUGACGAGAUAACACAAGACAUGAUGAACAAAUCGUAUCCUAAGCAACGUUUAUUUUUAAAUAGUUUACCACCACCAUCACUGCAGAGUAUUAAAGAAACAUGGCCGAUCUUAUUAUGCAAAAAUGGAAUAUAUUUUCAUUACCAAAAACUAAUGGGCCAUAGCAUUAAUAAUUUAACAGACACUUUAAUUGCAAAAUCUAACAAGUUUUUUACUUUUGGACUGAAUAAGAAAUGGAUUAAGGAAAUUCCCGUUGAUAGGGAAGAGGAUGAAGUAAUUGUGACCGUCUUGCAGAUUAUCGUGAAAUACUUUCAGGAAACUUUAACAGUUUUAUACUGCAAUAUUCGUGACGAAUCUGAUAUUGAGUCUACGACGACAAACGCUCCUGCUAUUGCAUGUUUACAGAGUGCUGUAGAUGAUGACCAAAAAACAUAUCUGGUCGUAAUGGAAGGUCAGAAAGUUAACUCUAAUUGCAAUUUAAGGAGUGCGCUGCAGCAAAUGUUUGCGUUAUAUUACAUUUUUAACCUGGAGUAUCCCAAACAAAUUGCGAAUACAAUGGAAUUGAUACAGAGUUACUUUCUAAAAAUUCACCCACAGCAAGGCACACGCAAUAGAAAAUCGUGUGCGAAAGCAAAGAUAGCCACUUUUUUAAACAAACUGCGAGAUGAAUAGGCAACGAGAUUAUAGAUUAUACGUUCAGGAAGAUGAAGUUUUGUUUCAUUUAGUGUAUAUAGGUAUAUAUUUUUAAGUUAUAAGUUAGGUACUGUUUUUUAUUUGUAUUAUUUUUGAUUUUAUUAUAUAUACAUAGUACGUG